CCUUCGGGUGGCAGCAGUGGGGGAUAUUGCACAAUGGGGGAAACCCUGAUGCAGCGACGCCGCGUGUGGGAAGACGGUCCUCUGGAUUGUAAACCACUGUCUCCAGGGACGAAGAUGACGGUACCUGGGGAGGAAGCUCCGGCUAACUACGCGCCAGCAGCCGCGGUAGUACGUAGGGAGCGAGCGUUGUCUGGAAUUAUGGGGUGUAAAGGGAGCGUAGGCGGGGAUGCAAGUUGGGUGUAAAAACUAUCGGCUCAAUUGGUUGUCGCACUCAAAACUGCAGCUCUUGAGUGAAGUAGAGGCAGGCGGAAUUCCUAGUGUAGCGGUGAAAUGCGUAGAUAUUAGGAGGAACACCAGUGGCGAAGGCGGCCUGCUGGGCUUUUACUGACGCUGAGGCUCGAAAGUGUGGGGAGCAAACAGGAUUAGAUACCCUUGUAGUC
RNAcentral lists this ribosomal RNA (440 nucleotides) under uncultured bacterium. RNAcentral's name for it is "partial 16S ribosomal RNA". It matches the Rfam family "Bacterial small subunit ribosomal RNA", at positions 338 to 795 of the family's 1533-position model. The record is from RNAcentral.